UCCCUGGUGGUCUACUGGUUAAGUCUCUGUGUUUCCACUGCAGCGGGCAAAGGUUCAAUUCCUGGCUGGGGAA
This 73-nucleotide transfer RNA is filed under the name Ovis aries (sheep). It matches the Rfam family "tRNA". From Rfam's summary of the family: Transfer RNA (tRNA) molecules are approximately 80 nucleotides in length. The record is from Rfam by way of RNAcentral. Lineage: Eukaryota; Metazoa; Chordata; Mammalia; Artiodactyla; Bovidae.